CUUGGUCAUUUAGAGGAAGUAAAAGUCGUAACAAGGUUUCCGUAGGUGAACCUGCGGAAGGAUCAUUAUUGAUUUUUAAAGAUGUGCUGGCACUCCUUCACCGGUUUGCAUGUGCACUCUGCAAAAUCUCCUUCUCUUACCCCACUGUGCACACCCAAGUAGACAAACAGAGUUACAGAGCAAUCUGUGUAAUUCCUGAUUUGCCUAUGUUUUUAUCAAACACCAAUAACAAUAUCAGAAUGAUCUAUAUAGUAAGCUUUUAACAAGCUGAAAUUUAAUACAACUUUCAACAAUGGAUCUCUUGGUUCUCGCAUCGAUGAAGAACGCAGCGAAUUGCGAUAUGUAGUGUGAAUUGCAGAAUUCAGUGAAUCAUCGAAUCUUUGAACGCACCUUGCACCCUCUGGCAUUCCGGAGGGUAUGCCUGUUUGAGUGUCAUUAAUCUCUCAACACAAGAAACUUUGUCUUCUUGUGCUUGGAUAUUGAAGGUUUUGCUGGCGCAAACAACUGUCAGCUCCUUUUAAAUGUAUUAGCAGAGCAGUAUGGGACUGGCCUCGGUUUGAUAAGAAACUUUAUCUAUGCUGUCGCUGGGUUUUCCUCUUUGUGCUCAGCUUCAAAUUGUCUUCGGACUGUCUCUUGAGGCAACAAAAUUUCUAUUGAUCGACCUCAAAUCAGGUAGGACUACCCGCUGAACUUAAGCAUAUCAAUAAGCGGAGGA
Molecule: ribosomal RNA, 715 nt
Filed under: uncultured Clavaria
Lineage: Eukaryota; Fungi; Basidiomycota; Agaricomycetes; Agaricales; Clavariaceae
Description: eukaryotic LSU rRNA
Rfam family: 5.8S ribosomal RNA (bases 282-435)
Source: RNAcentral